UACGUAGGGGGCGAGCGUUGUCCGGAUUUACUGGGCGUAAAGGGCUUGUAGGCGGUCCGUUAAGUCCGAUGUGAAAUCUCCCGGCUCAACUGGGAGAGGUCAUUGGAUACUGGCGGACUAGAGGGGGGUAGAGGAAAGCAGAAUUCCUGGUGUAGCGGUGAAAUGCGUAGAUAUCAGGAGGAACACCGAUGGCGAAGGCAGGUCUCUGGGCUGAAACUGACGCUCAAGCACGAAAGCGUGGGGAGCAAACAGG
RNAcentral lists this ribosomal RNA (253 nucleotides) under uncultured bacterium. RNAcentral describes it as "partial 16S ribosomal RNA". It matches the Rfam family "Bacterial small subunit ribosomal RNA", at positions 524 to 776 of the family's 1533-position model. The record is from RNAcentral.